RNAcentral lists this ribosomal RNA (596 nucleotides) under fungal sp. ARIZ B401cB. RNAcentral's name for it is "eukaryotic LSU rRNA". The stretch from base 214 to 367 matches the Rfam family "5.8S ribosomal RNA". RNAcentral also lists the same sequence under 1 other name. The record is from RNAcentral. Lineage: Eukaryota; Fungi.
UGGAAGUAAAAGUCGUAACAAGGUCUCCGUUGGUGAACCAGCGGAGGGAUCAUUACCGAGUUUACAAAACUCCCAACCCCUGUGAACUAUACCUGUUUGUUGCUUCGGCGGUGCCCCUCGCUUCGCGGCGAGGGCCCGCCAGAGGACCCAAAUUCUAUGUUUUUUUUUGCAUUCGUUUUAAUAUUCUGAGUGGAAUUUUUAAAUAAAAAUUAAAACUUUCAACAACGGAUCUCUUGGCUCUGGCAUCGAUGAAGAACGCAGCGAAAUGCGAUAAGUAAUGUGAAUUGCAGAAUUCAGUGAAUCAUCGAAUCUUUGAACGCACAUUGCGCCCGCCAGUAUUCUGGCGGGCAUGCCUGUUCGAGCGUCAUUUCAACCCUCAAGCCCCCCGGGCUUGGUGUUGGGGAUCGGCACAAGGCCCCUCGCGGCCCGCCGUCCCCCARAUGCAGUGGCGGUCACGUCGCAGCCUUCUAUGCGUAGUAGCAACACCUCGCACUGGAGCGCGACGCGGCCACGCCGUAAAACCCCCGACUUUUUUCUGGUUGACCUCGAAUCAGGUAGGACUACCCGCUGAACUUAAGCAUAUCAAUAAGCGGAGG